This 253-nucleotide ribosomal RNA is filed under the name uncultured bacterium. Its description in RNAcentral is "partial 16S ribosomal RNA". It matches the Rfam family "Bacterial small subunit ribosomal RNA", at positions 524 to 776 of the family's 1533-position model. The record is from RNAcentral.
GACAGAGGGUGCAAACGUUGUUCGGAAUUACUGGGCGUAAAGCGUGUGUAGGCGGUCUUCUAAGUCGGGUGUGAAAUCCCUGGGCUCAACCCAGGAAGUGCACUCGAAACUGGAGGGCUAGAGUAUCGGAGAGGUUGGUGGAAUUCUCGGUGUAGAGGUGAAAUUCGUAGAUAUCGAGAGGAACACCGAUGGCGAAGGCAGGUCUCUGGGCCGCAACUGACGCUGAGGAGCGAAAGCAUGGGGAGCGAACAGG